Molecule: long non-coding RNA, 351 nt
Filed under: Panax ginseng (ginseng)
Lineage: Eukaryota; Viridiplantae; Streptophyta; Magnoliopsida; Apiales; Araliaceae
Description: long non-coding RNA (PGIN_LNC009023)
Source: RNAcentral
ACAUAUGGUCGAUCUCAUCGUCCAGCUCGGCGGAUUUUCUGUAUGCUACUUGGAUUUCUUAUGAAGGUCUUCGGUCAGUGGCGGACUCAAAUUCUUAAGGGCCCGAAGCUCUUUGAGCUCUUCUUCGUGCUUCUGGCGAUGUGCCAGAUGCUUUGAUCCUUUAGCUUGACAGAUCGACAUUUGUAUCAGUGAUGACCCGAUGAGUGGCCUUGGUCGUUUUCAGUUCUUCUUUGAUCUUGUCGAUAUCCUUCUGAAGGCAUUCAUUGUUGAAGAUAGAAAUAUCAAGAUUGUUUCUUUCUUUUGCCAACACAGACUUCCGGAUGGCGUUAUCUCUUCGGCAUUCUCUUCGGC